Molecule: ribosomal RNA, 508 nt
Filed under: Cidnopus pilosus
Lineage: Eukaryota; Metazoa; Arthropoda; Insecta; Coleoptera; Elateridae
Description: partial 16S ribosomal RNA
Rfam family: Bacterial large subunit ribosomal RNA
Source: RNAcentral
UAUUUAAGGUUUGGUCUGCUCAAUGAGGAUUUAAAUUGCCGCGGUAUCUUGACCGUGCAAAGGUAGCAUAAUAAUUAGUUUUUUUAUUGAAAGCUGGAAUGAAGGAUUGGACGAGAAAAAAGCUGUCUCUAUGGGAUUUAUUUUUUAAUUUAACUUCUGAGUUAAAAGGCUUAGAUUUUAUUCAAAGACGAGAAGACCCUAUAGAGUUUUAUAGUUUCAGGAAUUAUAGGUUUUUGGUUAUUUAAUUUUUUUAAUUUUUGGAUAUUAUUUAGUUGGGGUGACUUGAAGAUUAGAGAAACUCUUCAUUUUUUAAUCAUUGAUUUAUGAAUAAAUAAUCUAGUUUUAUUAAAUUUAAAAUAAAUUACCUUAGGGAUAACAGCGUAAUUUCCUUUUAGAGUUCUUAUUGGAAGGGAAGUUUGCGACCUCGAUGUUGGAUUAAAAUUAAUUUUUGGUGCAGAAGCUUGAGAAUUGGGUCUGUUCGACCUUUAAAAUUUUACAUGAUCUGAGU